This 2277-nucleotide long non-coding RNA is filed under the name Bos indicus x Bos taurus (hybrid cattle). Its description in RNAcentral is "lncRNA (ENSBIXG00000020113.1)". Lineage: Eukaryota; Metazoa; Chordata; Mammalia; Artiodactyla; Bovidae. The record is from RNAcentral.
AGGGAUUUUAGUUUCUAAAGCCUAGGAUGCACUGACUGGCACCAGAUAUUUUUCCAAGGUAAAGGCAAAAUUCCACCUCUUGCCCCACACUGGGGAAGUACAGAGGACAGGUAAACUCUGAAAGCUGUAAAGGGCAGUCUGGCAGUGCAUGCCUUCAGACCUUCUUUUCUUACUGCCCACCACAUCAGGCAUAUUUGUGAAAACCAUACACCUCUGUGGUCCUGCCAUAGCAAACAAACAGAACCACGUGCCCUGUGUCUUCUCUCUACUCUGGUCACAUCCACCAUCCACAUACCUAACAGCAACUCUGCAAAGGACAGGGGCAGCGGAGACAAAGCAAGGAAGUCUCCCCACACCACACACACACUUUCCGGACUGUUUCCCAAAACAGGAUCACAGAAAGCAACUUUUGGAAGUCUGUCUGCCAGGGCCUGGUGACCAAGGUGACACAUAGGUAACUUGUCAGUUCCACUGAUGACAGGAAUACCACUUUCCCAAAUAGACCUUCCAAAAAAAAAAGUUCUUUUUCCAUUAUUUUCUUAUUAUGUCCUCACCCAGGAUAAGAAUUCCAAUUCCAGUGAAACAGCAAAGGGUCAGAAUGACUUUAAAUGAAAGGAAUGGAGGGAUAUUUCUAUAUGUCCCCACUCAGGGCCUCUGGCUUCUUGCAGAAACCAGAACUUUUCCACAGAAUGUUUUUCUGUCCAAUACGCGGGGUCCCUAGUGAGGCAUAAAAUGAUGUCCUGUGGACCUCUCAGGCCACAGUGAUGGAUGGGUAGGGUGCUCAGUGUGGGGCCAGGUACACUGUGUGAGGUGUUGGGCAGGCACCCGCCCAUGUUCCUACCACUAUGAACAGCCUGGAGACCUUGCCCAGCCCUCCUCUCUCCCAGUUCUUGGGCUCCACUAUGGAGCAGUGUAUUCUGUCUGCUUCCCACUGCAAACAGAGACUGCCAUUGAGCCAUUUUCCUCCACACUGCACACAGUUUCUGCUGCCAAGAUGUCACCGUGCAACACAUUCCCUCACCCCCUCCUCUCUGGGGCUGGCCGAACAGAACCCUGCUGUCCCUGAGCACGUGCGUGAACGUGGGAUCAGCAGCCCAGCCCUCCCCAGCCCUCUGCAGAGCGGACCGCAGCGUGUUUGCCCAAGGGGUUCAGAGAGAGGACAGCUUGGGGGUGGUUCUAUUUUUCAGAUCUGGAUCAGCUCACGCCGCCUGCCAAGCUGCACCUUCUCUUUUGUGGGCAGGUUUUUCCUGGUUCUGCACAUAGCAGGUACUCCAUAAACGCAUGCCCUUCCCAGUGACCUGUCCCGCUGGCAAGUCCUCCAUGAGGUAACUUCUGCUGGGAGGGCAUCAUGGCCACAUGUGCAGCUUCUUUCUGUAGUUCUACCACCAGCUUGGGGCUUUUCCAACACAAACACGGCAGGGGCAAAGCAGGGGGCAGCUUCCUUUCUCCGCAGAGCAGUUCUCAAAGUUGCCCUUGACCCAGGCCUACAUGCAGCAGCCCCUCUGGGGCUGGGUGGAUGGAUGGCUGCUUCUGCAUUUCAGGAAUUUUCAGGUUUGCCCAGGUCAUGUAGGUGGGCCUUGGGAAGGAUUCGUGGGAAAGAGCUCGCACUACAUCAAUGCAAGCUUGUCCUUAGACCUGCCAGGUUGACCUUGGUGACAAAAAGGUGACCCCAAGGAGCAUCCCCCUGUAUGGCUUUCUAAAUAUGGGGAUGGGAAAUCUCCUUUCCCAGGAUGGGCUAGGUUGCCCCCUGGGGAUGGGGCUUCUCUGCCCUGACUGCAGAGGCUCCCCUGCUGAUUUCUGCUGUGUCACUGCCUUGAGAAGGACAUGUGAAACUGCUCAGGGGCUUAGCAGAGGGAGAUGAAACCAAGAAGUCUGGCUUUUCACGUGAGGCACAGGGGGUAAAGGAGGGGAAGGAAUAAUAGGUGCCAAGGGUUGCCUUGCAACUUCUCGCCGUUUGAACUGGACUUCCCUGAGCCUUUUAGGCCUUCGGUAUUUUAUAGGACAAAGUGGUCUUUUUGUGACCCCCCAGAACUGAACUGAAGGGAGCAUAAAACCAUGUCCGUGACAGUACCAGGCACCGAUUCGGCGCCAAGGAGAGUCCUGGGUGGCUGGGUCACCUGCAGAUUUUGUCGCCCAGGUCUAGACCGGUGUGAGCCGCCAGCCAGGCAGUACGACUGGUUUCCGAGGGAACAACCCACUGGGGUCUGACCGGUCGGUCUCCUACACCAUCUCAUCCCUUCCCAACCCCGGAUCCGGGCUGCCGCCCUGGGUGGGUUU